GCGUUAUCCGGAUUUAUUGGGUUUAAAGGGUGCGCAGGCGGACCAAUAAGUCAGGGGUGAAAAAUUUCAGCUUAACUGGAAUCGUGCCUUUGAUACUGUUGGACUAGAGUAUAAUUGACGUGACUGGAAUGUGAUGUGUAGCGGUGAAAUGCUUAGAUAUGUCACAGAACGCCAAUCGUGAAGACAGGUCACGAAAUUAUUACUGACGCUCAUGCACGAAAGCGUGGGGAUCAAACAGGAUUAGAUACCCUGGUAGUCCACGCUGUAAACGAUGAUUACUCGUUGUUGGGCAGUGAUGCUCAGUGGCUAAGCGAAAGCGAUAAGUAAUCCACCUGGGGAGUACGAUCGCAAGGUUGAAACUCAAAGGAAUUGACGGGGGCCCGCACAAGCGGAGGAGCAUGUGGUUUAAUUCGAUGAUACGCGAGGAACCUUACCCGGGCUUGAACGUAAGACGAAUAUAUAAGAGACUAUAUAGCCUUCGGGCGUCUUGCGAGGUGCUGCAUGGUUGUCGUCAGCUCGUGCCGUGAGGUGUUAGGUUAAGUCCUGCAACGAGCGCAACCCUUACACUUAGUUGCCAGCACGUAAUGGUGGGGACUCUAAGUGAACUGCCUACGCAAGUAGAGAGGAAGGUGGGGAUGACGUCAAAUCAGCACGGCCCUUAUGUCCGGGGCUACACACGUGCUACAAUGGUAUGUACAGAGGGCAGCCACCUGGCGACAGGGAGCUAAUCCUCAAAGCAUAUCUCAGUUCGGAUUGGAGUCCGUAACUCGACUCUAUGAAGUUGGAUUCGCUAGUAAUCGCGCAUCAGCCAUGGCGCGGUGAAUACGUUCCCGGGCCUUGUACACACCGCCCGU
This 854-nucleotide ribosomal RNA is filed under the name uncultured bacterium. RNAcentral describes it as "bacterial SSU rRNA". It matches the Rfam family "Bacterial small subunit ribosomal RNA", at positions 538 to 1397 of the family's 1533-position model. The record is from RNAcentral.